Molecule: non-coding RNA, 45 nt
Organism: Schistosoma curassoni
Lineage: Eukaryota; Metazoa; Platyhelminthes; Trematoda; Strigeidida; Schistosomatidae
Source: Rfam
AUUUAGCUGAUGAGUCCCAAAUACGACGAAAAGCUAUUCCUAGAU